AGUGGGGAAUAUUGCACAAUGGGCGAAAGCCUGAUGCAGCGACGCCGCGUGGGGGAUGACGGCCUUCGGGUUGUAAACCUCUUUCACCAUCGACGAAGGUCCGGGUUUUCUCGGGCUGACGGUAGGUGGAGAAGAAGCACCGGCCAACUACGUGCCAGCAGCCGCGGUAAUACGUAGGGUGCGAGCGUUGUCCGGAAUUACUGGGCGUAAAGAGCUCGUAGGUGGUUUGUCGCGUUGUUCGUGAAAUCUCACGGCUUAACUGUGAGCGUGCGGGCGAUACGGGCAGACUUGAGUACUGCAGGGGAGACUGGAAUUCCUGGUGUAGCGGUGGAAUGCGCAGAUAUCAGGAGGAACACCGGUGGCGAAGGCGGGUCUCUGGGCAGUAACUGACGCUGAGGAGCGAAAGCGUGGGGAGCGAA
RNAcentral lists this ribosomal RNA (419 nucleotides) under uncultured Mycobacterium sp. Its description in RNAcentral is "bacterial SSU rRNA". It matches the Rfam family "Bacterial small subunit ribosomal RNA", at positions 353 to 772 of the family's 1533-position model. Lineage: Bacteria; Bacillati; Actinomycetota; Actinomycetes; Mycobacteriales; Mycobacteriaceae. The record is from RNAcentral.